AUUGAACGCUGGCGGCAGGCCUAACACAUGCAAGUCGAACGGUAACAGGAAGCAGCUUGCUGCUUCGCUGACGAGUGGCGGACGGGUGAGUAAUGUCUGGGAAACUGACUGAUGGAGGGGGAUAACUACUGGAAACGGUAGCUAAUACCGCAUAACGUCGCAAGACCACAGAGGGGGACCUUCGGGCCUCUUGCCAUCGGAUGUGCCCAGAUGGGAUUAGAUAGUAAGUGGGGUAACGGCUCACCUAGGCGACGAUCCCUAGCUGGUCUGAGAGGAUGACCAGCCACACUGGAACUGAGACACGGUCCAGACUCCUACGGGAGGCAGCAGUGGGGAAUAUUGCACAAAUGGGCGCAAGCCUGAU
Molecule: ribosomal RNA, 364 nt
Filed under: uncultured Escherichia sp.
Lineage: Bacteria; Pseudomonadati; Pseudomonadota; Gammaproteobacteria; Enterobacterales; Enterobacteriaceae
Description: bacterial SSU rRNA
Rfam family: Bacterial small subunit ribosomal RNA
Source: RNAcentral